AUUGAACGCUGGCGGCAGGCUUAACACAUGCAAGUCGAGCGAGCGGCGGACGGGUGAGUAAUGUAUGGGGAUCUGCCCGAUAGAGGGGGAUAACUACUGGAAACGGUGGCUAAUACCGCAUACUAUCGGAUGAACCCAUAUGGGAUUAGCUAGUAGGUGGGGUAAAGGCUCACCUAGGCGACGAUCUCUAGCUGGUCUGAGAGGAUGAUCCGACCCACUAGGAGUGGUACACGGCCCAGACUCCUACGGGAGGCAGCAGUGGGGAAUAUUGCACAAUGGGCGCAAGCCUGAUGCAGCCAUGCCGCGUGUAUGAAGAAGGCCUUAGGGUUGUAAAGUACUUUCAGCGGGGAGGCGUUACCCGCAGAAGAAGCACCGGCUAACUCCGUGCCAGCAGCCGCGGUAAUAC
This 406-nucleotide ribosomal RNA is filed under the name uncultured bacterium. Its description in RNAcentral is "partial 16S ribosomal RNA". It matches the Rfam family "Bacterial small subunit ribosomal RNA", at positions 30 to 526 of the family's 1533-position model. The record is from RNAcentral.